AUCCUGGGGGGUUCUGAGGGGUCCUGGGAGUUCCUGGAGGGUCCUGGGAAAGGAACCAGCAGUCUACAAUCUGCCAAUGCAGAGGCACAGUGAGAUGCUGGCUGGGGGUGGGUUGGAACUCAGCUCAGGGAUGAUUUAGGGUAAGGAGAAUAUUGCCUCUGUGUGGGAGAGUUUGAUAAGGAGUGAUUGCGGGCAUGAACUCUAGAGGGGUUCAUUUGUACGAGAAAAGCAGUGAAAGCAAAAAGUGAAAAGCACGCUCCCAGCUAAGCCUUUGCAAUCUCAAAGAAGGAACAGCUCUGGAAAGGCUGAAUCGCUAUGAGCCUUGAGGAAGAAUUAUAGACUUCCUUGAGGAUGGGAAGCAAAGAAAUGCACCAGGGGUAAUUACAUCCUGCCUCCUUCAGCGUCGCUCAGGGUUGCAAACUGGAUGCAGACUCUUUUUCUCCCAGCAUGCCCCUCUGCUCCGUGCAUUCAACACCUGCAGGAAUUAAAGUCUACAUCUGUGUCAGGAGGGCACUCAGACUAUUCGCUGCCUGAGACAACCGGGGAAAUCAACCCGCUUCAAGGAGGAAGGCUUGUGACAUAGCUGCUCUCUCCAGCAUGGCUUGCAGGCUGAGCGGAGUUUACAGGACGACUGUUGGAUGUCUGAAGUAGACUGAAGGAAGUCUGAGUCUGGGCCAUUUGGGAGGGAACGUGAUGGAAAUAUUUGCCCUGGGCUUGGAGAACCUAUUUGUUUUGACGACUGCUGCUGCUGCUGCUAUUUUCCUUAAAGUGGAAGAUAGCAGGACUGGAAGAAUGGGAGGCCCUGUCCUUUGGGUCCCGCCUUCUUGCACAUGUGCAAGAGAAGAGACGCACGUUGUAUAUUAGCUGUGCCUCGGACAAUAGAAAAGCCAUCCUCAGUGCCCUUCCUCCACUCAGCUAAAGAAAGCGUUCAUCUCCAUAACUCUCAAUCAAAUUCUUAAAAACUGUGGAGCUAGAAAAGACAUUUUCCCUUAUUCCACUGGAUAUGUUUAAUAUUGACAAAGAGAAAGACAAGACACUUGUGACUUAACAAAGUUCUACAUAAACGUGUACAACUGUAUCUACUAGAUUUUCACCUUAGUUUGAAUUUUGAUCUUCCUCAUUACAAUACAGACUUUUCUGCGAAGAAUUGUCUACAAAACCCUAGUAAAUUCUAAUAAAACAAAAUGCCUAUAAAAU
Long non-coding RNA from Mus musculus (house mouse), 1197 nucleotides. RefSeq annotates it as predicted gene, 41030. The record is from RefSeq and is a predicted model, not a curated record. Lineage: Eukaryota; Metazoa; Chordata; Mammalia; Rodentia; Muridae. The transcript has 3 exons.